CUGGAGACAAGGUCCGCCAGAGGCAGAACCAAUUCAAACAACACUGCAGAAAUCCAGGACUGACUUGAAGCCUAUAAGACAAUGGCCUACAAUCCAUUCUGGAGAAGCAAAUAAUGAAAUAACCUAACUUGACAAACCCAUGGCCUACUCCAGUUCACUGACCAAGGAUUCCAAACCAUCCUCUGCAAAAGUAUUCAUGCGUGAGCAACAGCACGGAAGAAAGAAAAAAGGCCCAUUAUUAUGGUAAACAGCAGAAGUGUAGAGAAAACACAGUUUUCCACUGGGAAAGAAACCAAAACACAUCUUUGAAAAAAUGUCUUUAGAUGAACAUAAAGACAAAAAAUGGUGGUAGAGUGGUCUAAAAAAACAGCACAUAUGGAGAAAAGUAUGAACAUCAUAGCAGGCUUGGAUGUUCUCUGUAGAUGUAGUUGUUUUACUGCUCAUCCUAUAGCUUUUGUUUGGAUAUUUUGCUGCAUUAUUC
Molecule: non-coding RNA, 481 nt
Organism: Meleagris gallopavo (turkey)
Lineage: Eukaryota; Metazoa; Chordata; Aves; Galliformes; Phasianidae
Source: RefSeq, a predicted model, not a curated record